GUGAAUCAUCGAAUCUUUGAACGCACAUUGCGCCUCUUGUUAGAGAGGCAUGCCUGUCUGAGCGUCGUUUAAAUCUCUAGGCCUCAUUUUCUUGGUGAGUGUCUGUCUUGGGCUUCGCCUGCCUGGCGUUGUCUGAAUGUCAUUGGUCUCAUCUGUGGACGAGUCCCGGUAGGGCAGACUGCAGUGGGACCCUAACCCCAUCUUGAAUUUGGCCUCAGAUCAGGUAGGAACACCGCCUGAACUUAAGCAUAUCAAUAAGCGGAGGA
RNAcentral lists this unclassified non-coding RNA (266 nucleotides) under Archaeorhizomycetes sp. RNAcentral's name for it is "partial contains 5.8S ribosomal RNA, internal transcribed spacer 2, and large subunit ribosomal RNA". The stretch from base 1 to 67 matches the Rfam family "5.8S ribosomal RNA", at positions 84 to 154 of the family's 154-position model. The record is from RNAcentral. Lineage: Eukaryota; Fungi; Ascomycota; Archaeorhizomycetes.